UACGAAGGGGGCUAGCGUUGUUCGGAAUUACUGGGCGUAAAGCGCACGUAGGCGGAUAUUUAAGUCAGGGGUGAAAUCCCGGGGCUCAACCCCGGAACUGCCUUUGAUACUGGGUAUCUCGAGUCCGAGAGAGGUGAGUGGAAUUCCGAGUGUAGAGGUGAAAUUCGUAGAUAUUCGGAGGAACACCGGUGGCGAAGGCGGCUCACUGGCUCGGUACUGACGCUGAGGUGCGAAAGCGUGGGGAGCAAACAGGG
This 254-nucleotide ribosomal RNA is filed under the name uncultured bacterium. RNAcentral describes it as "partial 16S ribosomal RNA". It matches the Rfam family "Bacterial small subunit ribosomal RNA", at positions 524 to 777 of the family's 1533-position model. The record is from RNAcentral.